RNAcentral lists this ribosomal RNA (467 nucleotides) under uncultured bacterium. RNAcentral's name for it is "partial 16S ribosomal RNA". It matches the Rfam family "Bacterial small subunit ribosomal RNA", at positions 28 to 507 of the family's 1533-position model. The record is from RNAcentral.
GACGAACGCUGGCGGCGUGCUUAACACAUGCAAGUCGAACGGAAAGGCCCUGCUUUUGUGGGGUGCUCGAGUGGCGAACGGGUGAGUAACACGUGAGUAACCUGCCCUUGACUUUGGGAUAACUUCAGGAAACUGGGGCUAAUACCGGAUAGGAGCUCCUGCUGCAUGGUGGGGGUUGGAAAGUUUCGGCGGUUGGGGAUGGACUCGCGGCUUAUCAGCUGGUUGGUGGGGUAGUGGCUUACCAAGGCUUUGACGGGUAGCCGGCCUGAGAGGGUGACCGGCACAAUGGGGCUGGGGAGACGGCCGAAACGCUUAGGGGGGGAAGCAGGGGGGAAUUUUGCACAAUGGGCGGAGGCGUGAGGAAGCACCGCGGGGGGCGGAUGACGGCCUUCGGGUUGUAAACCGCUUUCGCCUGUGACGAAGCGUGAGUGACGGUAAUGGGUAAAGAAGCACCGGCUAACUACGUG